Molecule: ribosomal RNA, 397 nt
Filed under: uncultured bacterium
Lineage: Bacteria
Description: partial 16S ribosomal RNA
Rfam family: Bacterial small subunit ribosomal RNA
Source: RNAcentral
AUACGUAGGUGGCAAGCGUUGUCCGGAAUUAUUGGGCGUAAAGCGCGCGCAGGUGGUUCCUUAAGUCUGAUGUGAAAGCCCCCGGCUCAACCGGGGAGGGUCAUUGGAAACUGGGGAACUUGAGUGCAGAAGAGGAUAGUGGAAUUCCAAGUGUAGCGGUGAAAUGCGUAGAGAUUUGGAGGAACACCAGUGGCGAAGGCGACUGUCUGGUCUGUAACUGACACUGAGGCGCGAAAGCGUGGGGAGCAAACAGGAUUAGAUACCCUGGUAGUCCACGCCGUAAACGAUGAGUGCUAAGUGUUGGGGGGCUUCCGCCCCUCAGUGCUGCAGCUAACGCAUUAAGCACUCCGCCUGGGGAGUACGGUCGCAAGACUGAAACUCAAAUGAAUUGACGGGG